UACCAGCUCUCCGAGUGGUAGGGAUGAUUAUUGGGCUUAAAGCGUCCGUAGCCGGCUUAGCAAGUCUCCUGUUAAAUUCAGCGACCUAAUCGUUGAGCCGCGGGAGAUACUACUAGGCUAGGAGGCGGGAGAGGUCAACGGUACUUCCGGGGUAGGGGUGAAAUCCUAUAAUCCCGGGAGGACCACCAGUGGCGAAGGCUGUUGACUAGAACGCGCUCGACGGUGAGGGACGAAAGCUGGGGGAGCGAACCGGAUUAGAUACCCGGGUAGUCCCAGCUGUAAACGAUGCGAGCUAGGUGUUGGGGUGGCUACGUGCCACUUCAGUGCCGCAGGGAAGCCAUUAAGCUCGCCGCCUGGGGAGUACGGCCGCAAGGCUGAAACUUAAGGAAUUGGCGGGGGAGCACCACAAGGCGCGAAGCUUGCGGUUC
This 428-nucleotide ribosomal RNA is filed under the name uncultured archaeon. RNAcentral describes it as "bacterial SSU rRNA". It matches the Rfam family "Archaeal small subunit ribosomal RNA", at positions 474 to 903 of the family's 1478-position model. The record is from RNAcentral.